Molecule: ribosomal RNA, 382 nt
Filed under: uncultured eukaryote
Lineage: Eukaryota
Description: partial 18S ribosomal RNA
Rfam family: Eukaryotic small subunit ribosomal RNA
Source: RNAcentral
CAAUAGCGUAUAUUAAAGUUGUUGCAGUUAAAAAGCUCGUAGUUGGAUUUGUGGUGUGUCCAGUCGGCCUUUGCUCUCUGAGUGAUUGCGCUGUACUGGUCUGCCAUGUUUGGGUGGAAUCUGUGUGGCAUUAAGUUGUCGUGCAGGGGAUGCCCAUCGUUUACUGUGAAAAAAUUAGAGUGUUCAAAGCAGGCUUAUGCCGUUGAAUAUAUUAGCAUGGAAUAAUGAUAUAGGACCUUGGUACUAUUUUGUUGGUUUGCGCACUAAGGUAAUGAUUAAGAGGGACAGUUGGGGGUAUUUGUAUUCCAUUGUCAGAGGUGAAAUUCUUAGAUUUUUGGAAGACAAACUACUGCGAAAGCAUUUACCAAGGAUGUUUUCAUUA